CCAGCAGCCGCGGUAAUACAGAGGUCCCAAGCGUUGUUCGGAUUCACUGGGCGUAAAGGGUGCGUAGGUGGUGAGGAAAGUUGGAUGUGAAAGCUCAGGGCUUAACCCUGAAAUGGCAUUCAAAACUACCUUGCUAGAGGGUCGGAAGGGAGACUGGAAUUCUCGGUGUAGCGGUGAAAUGCGUAGAUAUCGAGAGGAACACCAGUGGCGAAAGCGAGUCUCUGGACGACACCUGACACUGAGGCACGAAAGCUAGGGGAGCAAACAGGAUUAGAUACCCUGGUAGUCCUAGCCGUAAACGGUGCACAUUUGCCGUAAGAGGAAUCGACCCCUUUUGUGGCGCAGCCAACGCGUUAAAUGUGCCGCCUGGGAAGUACGGUCGCAAGAUUAAAACUCAAAGGAAUUGACGGGGGCCCGCACA
RNAcentral lists this ribosomal RNA (421 nucleotides) under uncultured bacterium. RNAcentral describes it as "bacterial SSU rRNA". It matches the Rfam family "Bacterial small subunit ribosomal RNA", at positions 508 to 927 of the family's 1533-position model. The record is from RNAcentral.